This 119-nucleotide ribosomal RNA is filed under the name Macaca nemestrina (pig-tailed macaque). Lineage: Eukaryota; Metazoa; Chordata; Mammalia; Primates; Cercopithecidae. The record is from RNAcentral.
GUCUAUGGCCAUAGCACCCUGAAUGCGUGAGAUCUCGUCUGCUCUCGGAAGCUAAGCAGGGUUGGGCCUGGGUAGUACUUGGAUGGGAGACCACCUGGGACUAUGGGGUGCUGUAGGCU